GGACACCUGCCUUUCCUAAUUGAGAGCUAUUGAAUUUGCCUACCCUGAUUUGUAUCAUUGGAGUGUGGGAACAAAGAAAGGAGGCAACGGCGAAUAUUUCUUCCAGUGUGGCUGUGGGAGAGAGUUUCCCUCAAGUACAUCCGGAGCCCCUUCAGGGGGCUGGACCAGCAGCGGCAUCUGUGGUAGAACCCUCAACAUCGACAGCAGCGGGCCAGGCGACGGCGACUGUUUGCAAGAAAAAUCAGCGAGAUCUAAAUGGG
Molecule: long non-coding RNA, 260 nt
Organism: Bombina bombina (fire-bellied toad)
Lineage: Eukaryota; Metazoa; Chordata; Amphibia; Anura; Bombinatoridae
Exons: 3
Source: RefSeq, a predicted model, not a curated record